CUAUAAUGCAGUCGAGCGACAGAUAAGGAGCUUGCUCCUUUGACGUUAGCGGCGGACGGGUGAGUAACACGUGGGUAACCUACCUAUAAGACUGGAAUAACUCCGGGAAACCGGGGCUAAUGCCGGAUAACAUUUAGAACCGCAUGGUUCUAAAGUGAAAGAUGGUUUUGCUAUCACUUAUAGAUGGACCCGCGCCGUAUUAGCUAGUUGGUAAGGUAACGGCUUACCAAGGCAACGAUACGUAGCCGACCUGAGAGGGUGAUCGGCCACACUGGAACUGAGACACGGUCCAGACUCCUACGGGAGGCAGCAGUAGGGAAUCUUCCGCAAUGGGCGAAAGCCUGACGGAGCAACGCCGCGUGAGUGAUGAAGGGUUUCGGCUCGUAAAACUCUGUUAUUAGGGAAGAACAAACGUGUAAGUAACUGUGCACGUCUUGACGGUACCUAAUCAGAAAGCCACGGCUAACUACGUGCCAGCAGCCGCGGUAAUACGUAGGUGGCAAGCGUUAUCCGGAAUUAUUGGGCGUAAAGCGCGCGUAGGCGGUUUCUUAAGUCUGAUGUGAAAGCCCACGGCUCAACCGUGGAGGGUCAUUGGAAACUGGGAGACUUGAGUGCAGAAGAGGAAAGUGGAAUUCCAUGUGUAGCGGUGAAAUGCGCAGAGAUAUGGAGGAACACCAGUGGCGAAGGCGACUUUCUGGUCUGUAACUGACGCUGAUGUGCGAAAGCGUGGGGAUCAAACAGGAUUAGAUACCCUGGUAGUCCACGCCGUAAACGAUGAGUGCUAAGUGUU
Molecule: ribosomal RNA, 790 nt
Filed under: Staphylococcus aureus
Lineage: Bacteria; Bacillati; Bacillota; Bacilli; Caryophanales; Staphylococcaceae
Description: bacterial SSU rRNA
Rfam family: Bacterial small subunit ribosomal RNA
Source: RNAcentral